Molecule: ribosomal RNA, 1080 nt
Filed under: Orbilia subaristata
Lineage: Eukaryota; Fungi; Ascomycota; Orbiliomycetes; Orbiliales; Orbiliaceae
Description: eukaryotic LSU rRNA
Rfam family: Eukaryotic large subunit ribosomal RNA (bases 514-1080)
Source: RNAcentral
AUGCUCCGGUUCGCCGGUCAAAGUCUUAAACCCUUUGUGAAAACAAAAGACCAUUUGCUUCGGCAGCUGGUCGGGUCUCCUAACCGUUUCUCGACCGUCAGCCUGCCGGCGGCGCCAAACCAAACUUGUUAUUUCUGUACAGUCUGAAAAACAUUUUUUGAAUGAAAUCAAAACUUUCAACAACGGAUCUCUUGGUUCUCGCAUCGAUGAAGAACGCAGCGAAACGCGAUAGUUAAUGUGAAUUGCAGAAUUCAGUGAAUCAUCGAGUCUUUGAACGCACAUUGCGCCCAUUGGUAUUCCGAUGGGCACGUCUGUUUGAGCGUCAUUACAACCCUUCGGUCUGGAUUUGUUACGGAUCCUGACCGGUUGUGAGCUCCGGCUUUCACCGGCCGGGCUUUAAAGUGGCACGCUCUGCGGGUGACCCAACCUGAACGAACAUAGUAGAAUCCAUUCAACCUGUUCGACUAAGGGAUGGUCAGCUCCGCCUGAACAAGAACCUAAUUUUCUAAGGUUUGACCUCAGAUCAGACGAGGAUACCCGCUGAACUUAAGCAUAUCAAUAAGCGGAGGAAAAGAAACCAACAGGGAUUGCCUCAGUAACGGCGAGUGAAGCGGCAACAGCUCAAAUUUGAAAUCUGAAGUCUUCGGCUUCCGAGUUGUAAUUUGUAGAGGAUGCUUCGGUUGUGGCCCCGGCCUAAGUUCCUUGGAACAGGACGUCGCAGAGGGUGAGAAUCCCGUACGCGGCUGGCGGCUUACUUCCAUGUGUAGCUCCUUCGAAGAGUCGAGUUGUUUGGGAAUGCAGCUCAAAAUGGGUGGUAAAUUUCAUCUAAAGCUAAAUACUGGGGAGAGACCGAUAGCGCACAAGUAGAGUGAUCGAAAGAUGAAAAGCACUUUGAAAAGAGAGUUAAACAGUACGUGAAAUUGUUGAAAGGGAAGCGCUUGCAAUCAGACUUGCUUGCGGUUGAUCAACGUUCCUUCUGGUUCGUGCACUCUGCCGCUUUGCAGGCCAGCAUCGGUUGAGACGGUGGGACAAAGACUCCGGGAAUGUGGCUCCUCUCGGGGAGUGUUAUAGCCCGGUGUG